This is a long non-coding RNA of Meleagris gallopavo (turkey), 2672 nucleotides long. Lineage: Eukaryota; Metazoa; Chordata; Aves; Galliformes; Phasianidae. The record is from Ensembl.
AUGCGACUAGACAGGAUGACGUUGUCAGUGAGCUCAGUUUUUUUCCAGAGGAACAGCUUAAAUUUUUGGAAUUCUGUUGAAAUAUUUUUAUGGCCUUCAUUGAACUCCACUGUAGAGCACUGUGUUCCCAGAAGCCAGCUGUGUAGGAUGCUUCCCUUGCAAAAAGGUAAAUUAAUGAAAAAUUCAUCCAAUGCCACCUGGACACGAACUCAUCCUACAGCGAUUCAUUCAACCUUUAAUCCGACUUAAAAGAAAGUAAUUGUCAAAUUAAUUCAUCCUUUAGAGAUGUUAUUUUGGAUCAAUUUUUUACUCCCAAGGAGCCAAACUACUGAGAGACUGCAGUUCCUCAAGGUUUACCUUCUUGUUUAAGAGCUGUAAUGAAAAGGUAAAGCAGUUCAUUUAGGCCUAAAUACUUUGUUUAAAGAGGAGAGCCCUCAUGUACACAAAUACAUCAAAGUGAAACUGGUUUAAUUUUUCUCUAUCUGAAAGGGAUAACUGGGGUCCUUCACUACCUCAAACAAACGAGACUGCAAGAGAUGCCCUAUUCUGGGUGUUGUGGGCAAUGGGGGCAACGAGGAGGCUGACCUGAGGUCCUGAGCUGAUAAAAUCCCAUUCAUCUCUAAGAAAUCUCAUCCUUAAUCUUGCAUACAGACUGAAUCAGAGCUGUGCUGUUAGCCUGCUACCUUGGAAUCAGCAUGCAUCAAGGGGCACGUAAAGCAGAGAUUUCAAAUUCUUUUUCUGAUCGAGUGUCUUGCCAACCAACCAAAGCUGGUUCCUCAAAGGCAGCAGUCUAUGAAGGAUCCUUAAACAGUGUCGAAUUUGUAAUGCCGAGUGUUUGUUUUUAAAAAGACUGGCACUACAGCUGGAAAGGGUUUCCUUUUGCAAUCAUAUGAAAGGAAAAUCUUUCAGAAGUAUAUAAGAGGUAGAAAAACUAUGGUUUGUGCAUUAAAUAGUUUUACUGGCAUGGCGAGGCAAAUGUUCAAAAAUCAUGGAGUCGAAUGAUGUGCCCUUUUCUUCCAUGGGUCAGUAGAGUUCAUUGGUGGAUGAAUGCAAGAAAGAUGCUGGAGUAUAACAAAAGCAGCACUAAGUUAGAGGGGCUUGAUCAUCAGUUUAGUGUGAUGUCUACAGCAAUUAUGCGUAUUUUGUUCUGAAUGAUGGAGUCCAGUUUAGACAGGAGGAGGAGAGGAUUUGGAGAGGUUUUCUGAGCGCAGGAAAAUUGAUGUCCUUAGUUCUGUGAAGUCAUCAAUUCCCCCGUGACUCCACUGUAAAUCUCAGCCUACAGUGAGAUCAUUCUCCAAUCAACUUCAACUGAAUAACCAACUUUAAAUAAAUCUGCUUUAAUUCUGUGGCUGUUAAAAAAUAGACAAUGGUUCCAUUUUGGAUCUGUAACUCGCACCGUUUGAAUAGGAAGGUAAAAUGCUUGCUUUCAUUAAUUUAACUAUGGUGGCUAUAAUGACACCUUGGUAAUAGCAGAAAGGUGUCUCUUUCCUGACAUUAUUUCUUUUACGCAUUGUUAUUACUACUUACUGAUAACAGUGCCUGAAUUUUAAUGGACAAAGGUUGUCCAUGUCCUUUAAAUUCUGAGCAAUCUGCUUUUGGAAUGACUUCAGUCUCUAUUUAAACUUCAGCUGAUAAAAGCUUUGCUGUCAUAGUUCCAGUUCCUCCCUGCAGUUAGCUUUGCUGGCUGAAGGACUGCCAAUUAUGCACGUGGGGCAACGACAGAAGGAAUUCAAUGAAGGCAGAGACUUUUAUAAAGUUUAAUUCCUGAUGAUUUGAGGCUUUGGUAGAGAAGGGACUGAGUUGUUUGAAUGCCAUGUGUAUUCAUUAUGAAACAAAACAGUGUUUUGAAAAUGUAUCCAUUGAUUAAAAGAAUCUGAUAUAAAUUCUAUGGUUGGUUCAAGUCAGUUGUGCUUUGGAUUUUCAUUUCUGUCUCCCUGAGCAAAUUAUAAGGUUCUGAGAGGAGUAUGGCCAGCAAGAAGAAUUGUUUAAUGCUGCUAAUGCCAUCGUUAAUCCAAUGGUCUUUACCAAUGUUUUGUGACACUUGCAUAUGUUAAUGUCAAAAUAACCUUGUUAAGGAGCUGAGCUUAAUCUGACCUUCAAAGUACUUGGACUCUUCUGUUUAAUGAAGUAUGAUUCAUCAUUACAUCUGUCAUCUGGAGCUCUGCAAAUCAGUAUGAAUGGCUUGCAAUGAUGAUAUAACUUUGAGAAGAAACCCAGGGCCACAUCAUUGCUUGAUGUGUGAAUAAGCAAAGCUUCUCUGAUGUGAGGGAAGCCUGUGGAUUUACAGCUUUCUGGUGUUGAUAGAAAAUAUAUAAACUUAGAGAUGACAUAGCUUUUGUUUUCUGGAUAUAGUGUUCCAAACAAAUAUGGGAAACUUGUAUAUUCUCUGCACUUUCCAAAGAGCUUUUGAGUGUGACUCAAAAUCAUUUAAUGUAAUGUCCAGCAUGGCAAUCUUUGUGUGCUUCUGGGAAUUCAGACUACCUCAUUUUAUGGAUUGCAGAACUCUAUCAGCAGCAGAGUUCCUCGAAGACCUAUGGGACAAAGAAUGGCUUUGCUAACUGAGCCUACUAUAUACUCCCAGAAAAAAUUGUGCUGGGACAGAAGACAGCAGAAGACACCUGGAAAGGUAAGGUUACAUCUUCCUUGGUUUCCUUCAGCUCAGGGAGAGGAAG